AAGCGAAUAGAGGGGACGAUAUAACCUCUAAAGUACAAUUUCUGUGCAUGCCACUGGUUUUAGUAUUCAUUCGACGUUUAUACGUCCUUUGUAUACCUACCUACGUAUAUAUGUAUGUAUUUUAUUGCGAUAUCACGUUUCUAAAUUUUAUAAUACAAAAUAUCGAUGAACAUUCUGUUGACAUUGGUUGAAAAUAAAGUGAUCUACAAAAACGUACCUACUUACCGUUAUAUUUACCACGUUGUUUACCUAUUUGUGUAGGUACUUCCGCACGUGUAGCAUAUUACAUUUUUUAAAUGUUUCAAAUUUCGUUAUCGACGACAAGUCCUAAAC
Cinara cedri is the source of this 333-nucleotide non-coding RNA. The record is from the annotation of a GenBank genome assembly. Lineage: Eukaryota; Metazoa; Arthropoda; Insecta; Hemiptera; Aphididae.